GACGAACGCUGGCGGCGUGCUUAACACGUGCAAGUCGAACGCUGAACCCGCUUCGGUGGGGGAUGAGUGGCGAACGGGUGAGUAACACGUGGGCAACCUGCCCCCGGCUCUGGGAUAACUCCAAGAAAUUGGGGCUAAUACCGGAUGUGACCGCUGGCCGCAUGGUCUGGUGGUGGAAAGGGUUUCCGGCUGGGGAUGGGCCCGCGGCCUAUCAGCUUGUUGGUGGGGUAGUGGCCUACCAAGGCGACGACGGGUAGCCGGCCUGAGAGGGUGACCGGCCACACUGGGACUGAGACACGGCCCAGACUCCUACGGGAGGCAGCAGUGGGGAAUAUUGCGCAAUGGGCGGAAGCCUGACGCAGCGACGCCGCGUGGGGGGUGACGGCCUUCGGGUUGUAAACCUCUUUCAGCAGGGACGAAGCGCAAGUGACGGUACCUGCAGAAGAAGCACCGGCCAACUACGUG
This 465-nucleotide ribosomal RNA is filed under the name uncultured bacterium. RNAcentral's name for it is "partial 16S ribosomal RNA". It matches the Rfam family "Bacterial small subunit ribosomal RNA", at positions 28 to 507 of the family's 1533-position model. The record is from RNAcentral.